GAUGAAGAACGUAGCGAAAUGCGAUACUUGGUGUGAAUUGCAGAAUCCCGUGAACCAUCGAGUCUUUGAACGCAAGUUGCGCCCGAAGCCAUUAGGCCGAGGGCACGCCUGCCUGGGCGUCACACGUCGUUGCCCCCCCAUCUACUCCUUCGGGAUUGCGGGGGGCGGCUGAUGGCCUCCCGUGCGCCUCGUCGCGCGGUUGGCAUAAAUGCCAAGUCCUCGGCGACGCACGCCACGACAAUCGGUGGUUGCGAAACCUCGGUUGCCCGUCGUGUGCGGUCGUCGCGCAUCGAGGGCUCGAAAAAAUUGUCGGGCUCCGGCUCGGCUUUCAACGCGACCCCAGGUCAGGCGGGGUUACCCGCUGAAUUUAAGCAUAUCAAUAAGCGGAGGA
Molecule: unclassified non-coding RNA, 391 nt
Filed under: soil metagenome
Description: partial contains 5.8S ribosomal RNA, internal transcribed spacer 2, and large subunit ribosomal RNA
Rfam family: 5.8S ribosomal RNA (bases 1-122)
Source: RNAcentral